GACGAACGCUGGCGGCGUGCUUAACACAUGCAAGUCGAGCGAUGAAGCCUCUUCGGAGGUGGAUUAGCGGCGGACGGGUGAGUAACACGUGGGCAACCUGCCUCAAAGUGGGGGAUAGCCUCCCGAAAGGGAGAUUAAUACCGCAUAAUAUUAGUUUUUCACAUGGAAGAUUAAUUAAAGGAGUAAUCCGCUUUGAGAUGGGCCCGCGGCGCAUUAGCUAGUUGGUGAGGUAACGGCUCACCAAGGCCACGAUGCGUAGCCGACCUGAGAGGGUGAUCGGCCACAUUGGAACUGAGACACGGUCCAGACUCCUACGGGAGGCAGCAGUGGGGAAUAUUGCACAAUGGGGGGAACCCUGAUGCAGCAACGCCGCGUGAGUGAUGACGGCCUUCGGGUUGUAAAGCUCUGUCUUCAGGGACGAUAAUGACGGUACCUGAGGAGGAAGCCACGGCUAACUACGUGCCAGCAGCCGCCGCCG
This 478-nucleotide ribosomal RNA is filed under the name uncultured bacterium. RNAcentral describes it as "partial 16S ribosomal RNA". It matches the Rfam family "Bacterial small subunit ribosomal RNA", at positions 28 to 523 of the family's 1533-position model. The record is from RNAcentral.